GCCAACAUGGCCAAUCUACCGUUCUUGAUCUCCUUGAGUUUCAACUCCUUCAUGGACUUCUCGUUUUUACCAAACCCAAGAGGGUUAAAGAAAGGUCCACCAGGGUAAGCCGGUUCACCUGAACCGGAAAAGCCUUUCUCUAAACCCAAGAAGUACUGUUUGCCCAUAGAUCCAGGGUUGUACCAGUCUUGCAACCUCCGGUGCUCAGCGAAUCCCAUCAGAGCCAUCUCGAGAACAAAGAGUGUGUAGUUGUCUGCCCAGUAACUGUAUGUCCCUGCAGGUGGAAUCACACCGGUUUGGAACCAGGGAAGAGCAGUCUCUGCUGGAAUCAGACCGGCUUUGCCUAGAAUCUCAGGAGCAAUAGCUCCAGCUGCACCCAACAUGGCGAAACGUCCGUUGAUGAUCUCUCCGUAUGCUAGCCAUCUCGGCUCGAUGAACCCUCCAGUACCUUCUGGGUCUGAAAGACCAAGCGGGUCAAAUCCAUAGUCUCCAGGUAAGCUGCAAGAAUCACAAGAUCUCCCUAGUUAUGAACCAUUGUCUAUAAAGUCUACACAUUUUUAAGAUCAUAAUGGUUAAAAGAAACGAAGUCUUUGGAAUUACCUGCCAUCCAAGUAAGUGAGACUCUGAGAGGAUGCAAACCACAAUGGUCUGUUUGCUCCUUGCUGAAACAAAAUUCACAGAAAAAGAAGAUUCAGAUUAUUCAGUGCAUAGAAAAAGAGAGAUUUGUGAAAAAGACUAGAGACUGUCAUGUACCUUGACAGGUGGAGUUGAAGUAGCCUUAACGACAAAGGAACUCUUCCUCUGUGAAGUGGACACAGCUGGUUUUGUGCCGAAGAUCUGUCUAGCGGUCUGAACAGAGGAGGUAAGUGAAGAAGACACAAGUGCUUGUGCUGCCAUUAUUUUGCUCUGUUCCUUAACUCUUUCUCUUCUGUGUCACCAAGAGAUGAUGAAGAUGAUGGUUCAGUAAUGGUUUUGCAGGGGAAAUGUUAGAGAACAACGAACAAGGUCCAUUAGAACUACUUGUGGCUUUGAAAUAGCACAACUGGUUUUGCUCAGAUUAGAUUAGUAUCUGCUUCACCAACUAUAUUUGUCCACGUGGCAACAUAAGUUGGAUAAGGGAUGUUGUUUCUCUGUUUCUCCUUAUCUGCCACACAAGAAAUAAAAAAAAAUCUUUACCUAGAAGCCUAUUGGUUAUAAAAUAUUGUAUGCUUUAUAGAUUGGAAAUUGUAAUGGAUAUGUGCUUCUGUGCAUAAAGAACCAAAUUGGCAUUUUGAUACGGUUAGCAAAGAAAGUUCUCAAUUGCUUCAUAGUCCAUUCAAAUGUUAGUGCAACAUUCUAAUUACACACUCUAAUUACUUCAAAUUCCGUAAAUCGGUUCGGUUUUCAUUCGACUAAUAAAAAAGUAGGUUCGGUUUGAUAACUUUGGUUCGGUUCGGGAAAAAGAUAUAAAAAAACAAUGAUUGCUGCUACAAUAUUUAGGAGUAUAAAUAAAUGUUUUUUGUUGACAAAAACAUUUGUUUCCCCAUAUGCAUAUUUAGUUAAAAAUAUUAUUUUUAAUGAGUUUCAGCAAUUUGAUUAAUUCGGUUUGAUUAAACCGAAAUUAGGCUAUGAUUCGGAUUUGGUUUGAUGAAAUUUUGGUUCAGUGCACUUCGUUUUUUUUCCCCCUUAGAGACACUAUAAAUAGUUAGCGUUUUACAUAGUUCCCGCUAGUGAUACACCGUCGGCGAUUUUUACUAAACUAGAUGCUGUAUGAGUUGGAAAUAAUCAACCAUAGUUUCUCAUGUACUGAUAGACUUUAGCUCCGGUGGUAUAUAGGCACAGCUUGUCUUCGUUUGGAUUACGCUCUGUAAGUGUUCGGUGAAAUGCCUCAACGAAAUGGAAUGCUUCAAAGCUACGUUCUUUUUACCAGGAGACUAGCUUGCAAGUCAUAUAAAAUAGAUAAUUGCUGCACAUAUAAUGGUGAAACAACAGCGAACUAAGUGAGAUUUGAUUGAUUAAUAUUCUCAUCAUCUGAUUCAUUCAUAUAAGAUAUUGGAUUCUUCAGUGAAGACUGUGACAGUUCUCAUCUUUCGGUGGAUGCAGAGUAUAAAAAGAAAAUCUUUCACUGGUUCUUAUGGACUUAACGAGCUAAAAAGGGAAUGAAAAUGACAAUGUUGGUAUAUGGGGUUAAAGUCAAACGUUGCGUGGUUGAUUGGGUAAAAGGUUAGACUUCUUCGUGGCAAUCACUUUGUGUAUUAUUUAAUAAGGUUUAAGAAUAGUCUCACAAGUUCCUAGAAUUCAUUUUCUUGGGUUACUUGCUCUAAUUAACAUGUUUGCUUCUUAAACUAAUCUAAAGGAGAUUGUUAUUGGAGACACAUGAACAAACAUGGGGAUGAGGAGGUUUGCUUGUUUGCUCUUUCUUACCACGUUCUUAAGUUUUAGUUAUGCAGCUAUAACGCCAGAAAGUCCUUUAUCAAUAGGACAAACUCUCAGAUCCUCUAAUGAGAUUUAUGAACUGGCUUUCUUCAGUCCUAAUAACUCCCAAAAUCAGUAUGUUGGAAUCUGGUUCAAAGGUAUCAUUCCCCAGGUGGUUGUGUGGGUGGCCAAUAGAGAAAAUCGUGUUACAGACAAAUCUAAGUAUCAGCAGCAAUGGAAGUCUUCUCUUAUUGAAUGGCAAACAUGGCGUUGUCUGGUCCAGUGGAGAGACUUUCGCAUCUAACGGGUCUCGAGCAGAGCUUUCAGACACCGGGAAUCUUAUUGUCAUAGACAAUGUUUCAGGGAGAUUACUAUGGGAAAGCUUUGAGCAUCUUGGUGAUACUCUGCUCUUAUUCUCAACCCUGAUGUAUAAUCUAGCCACCGGUGAGAACCGUGUGUUGACUUCUUGGAAAACUAAUACUGAUCCAUCACCAGUUGACUUUGUGGUUGAGAUUACACUGCCACUGAGUGCCAUCACAGGCGUUUACUAUGAGAGGCUCAACGCCUUAUUGGAGAAGCGGUCCAUGGGCUAAAACAAGGUUCACAGGGAUACCACAAAUGGAUGAAACAUAUACAAGUCCAUUCAGUGUUCAGCAAGAUGCAAACGGGUCAGGAUCCUUCACUUAUUUACAUAGAAACUUCAAACUUCCACGUAUAGUGAUAACAUCUGAUGGGUCACUAAAGAUUGUUCGGCAUAAUGGGACCGGCUGGGAAUUGAACUUUGAGGCUCCAACGAACUCAUGUGAUUACUAUGGUGUAUGUGGACCUUUUGGGUUGUGUGUGAUGUCUGUUCCUCCAAAAUGUAAAUGCUUCAAAGGGUUUACACCAAAUACAUUGAGGAGUGGAAAAAAGGAAACUGGACUGGUGGUUGUGUGAGGCGUACCGAACUAGAUUGUCAGGAGAACUCUACUGGGAAAGAUGGAAACGUCUUCCAGCAAGUUGCCAACAUAAAGCCUCCAGACUUUUACGAAUUUUCAAGUUAUGAGAGUACUGAAGAAUGCUACCAAAGUUGCCUCCACAAUUGUUCCUGCUUGGCCUUUGCUUUUAUUCAUGGAAUAGGCUGCUUGAUGUGGAACGGGGAGCUAAUGGACUCUGUGCAAUUUUCUGCGGGAGGAGAACUUCUUUCCAUUCGUCUUGCACGUUCUGAACUAGGUAAGGCUUAAAAGAUAACACGAAAGAGCUACUUCGUCAUAUACAUCUUUAUCUAAAACUCCCUUAAUAGCAGCAUGUGUUAUUGUUAAGUUUGUUUUUGUCUUAUAUAUUUCAGUUGGUAAUAAGCGCAAGAAGACUAUUGUUGCAAGUAUUGUGAGCCUUUCUCUUUUUGUGUUAUUGGUUCUGCUGCAUUUGGUUUCUGGAGAUACAGAGUGAAACGCAACAGUACACACUUGACACUACUAUUUCUUUAUAGAUUUUUUGUUGUUUAUCUAUUUCAUUUGAUUGCUAACGAGUAACACAAUGAUGACCUUAAUAUCUGUCUGUUUUAGUUUCAGCUAUUAUAUCAAAGGAUGCUUGGAGGAAUGAUCUGAGACCACAAGAUGUCACAGGUUUAAAUUUCUUUGACAUGAAUACCAUUGAAACUGCCACCAAUAAUUUCAGUCUGUCAAAUAAACUCGGACAAGGUGGAUUUGGUUCAGUUUACAAGGUAAGGGGAUUUUUGUCCUCUUUUCUAUCCUCUGCUUAUUCUCUCUAGAUGACAUGCUGCAAUCUGUUUCAGGGAAAGCUGCAAGAUGGGAAAGAAAUUGCUGUAAAACGGCUUUCUAGCAGCUCAGGGCAGGGCAAAGAAGAGUUCAUGAAUGAAAUAGUACUCAUCUCAAAACUACAACACAGAAACUUAGUUCGGAUCUUGGGAUGUUGCAUUGAAGGAGAAGAGAGGCUACUUAUUUAUGAGUUCAUGGUGAACAAAAGCCUUAAUACUUUUCUCUUUGGUUGGUCCUUUCUUUCCUCUUUCCUUUUCUAUUACAGCUUCUUCUACGUAGAGCUCUUAAUCUGAUAAAUUUUUGGACUAUAUUAUUGGUUAGAUUCAAGAAGAGAGCUCGAGAUUAAUUGGCCAAAGAGAUUUGAUAUCAUUCAAGGUGUUGCGCGUGGACUUCUCUAUCUUCACCAUGACUCACGCCUUAGGGUCAUUCACCGAGACCUAAAGGUUAGCAAUAUUCUUUUGGACGAGGAGAUGAACCCGAAGAUAUCAGAUUUUGGAUUGGCUCGAAUGUUUCAAGGAACACAAUAUCAGGACAACACUCACAGGGUUUUUGGAACCCUGUAAGUACAUUUCUUCAAAAAUAGGCUUAGCAAGAUUCAUUAGUCAUAUCUUAGCUUGUGUAAAACUAUUCGAUUGUUUGCACAGAGGAUACAUGUCUCCUGAGUAUGCGUGGACUGGGCUGUUCUCUGAGAAGUCUGAUAUUUAUAGUUUUGGAGUUCUGAUGUUAGAAACCAUCAGUAGAGAGAAGAUCUCAAGGUUUAGUUAUGAUGAAGAGUGCAAAAGCCUUCUUGAAUAUGUAAGUAAGACUUCUUCAGGUUUCAAAACCUUUUCUUGCUCUUAUAUUCGGCUGAUAUUCUGAAAUUUCAACAGGCAUGGGAAUCUUGGUGUGAAACUAGAGGUGUUGAUUUUUCGGACCGAGAUAUUGCUGAUACAUGUAAUCCAUCUGAGGUUGGAAAAUGUGUUCAGAUUGGUCUGCUGUGUAUUCAACACCAACCUGUAGACAGACCCAACACACUUGAGUUGCUGUCCAUGCGCACCACGACAUCAGAUCUUCCAUCACCAAAACAACCCACUUUUGCAGUGCACACGAGAUAUGGCGAAUCCAAUUCUAAGGAAUUGUUGAUCACCGUCAAUGGGAUGACACAAUCUGUGAUCCUUGGACGUUAAGAAACAAUGUGUUUCUCUCUCUCUCUGUCUCUCUCUGUCUCUCUGUCUCUCUCUUUCUCUCUCUCUCUUUCUUGAAACUAGUUUUCUGAUUCUCAGCUUUCUAAGAAGAAACAAACUUAAAGUGUAUUGAGUUUGGUUAAACUUUUCCAAUCUUUGGGAUGUUAACUGAAUGCUGAUUCUAGAUUAAGUGUUUAGGUGAUUUAAACCAAAAUCAAAUUUCAGAGUGUUUGCUUCCAAAUAUUACGGGAGGAUUGUAGUGGAAUUUGUAUUUUUUUACUUUUCUAAGAAUUAAAAUAACGUAAGACGUUGUUUUUAAUCCCACAUCGGGAACAUAGUAAAACGUAGGUCAUGACACUUUGCUAUAAAAUAGAACGUGGCUAAGAUUUACUGUAGUAUCUGUUCUUAUCAGUGUAAUAUCUGAUAUGUGGGCCAUCGGCUCACUCGUUAUUAACUCAAUUUUUGAAGGGAGCAAGCCCAUUAAAAAUACUUUGCUAUCUGGGCUUUCUGAGUUGCCCAUGUGUUGCACUACUGCAUGGACCUGGCUCAUCCCAUCAUUCACUAGUCCAAAUUUUGGUUAAUAAUUGUCUUAAGAAGUCAUGGCUCAUCCCAUCAUUCACUAGUCCAAAUUUUGGUUAAUAAUUGUCUUAAGAAGUCAUUAAAUCGAGAUAAAUUUUUAAAUCACAAACACUACGUUAAAUAUACCUUUGUAGGUUUUGAUGGAACUAGGUAAUUAGCCCGCAUAAAACACAAGAGUUUCAUAAAAUAAUUACAUCAUUAAAUUAUUAACUUUGUUAAAAAAAAAAUCCCAAAAUAUAAGAACAAUGUUAGACAUUCGACCAUUACCAUUCACUCAUAUAUUUAUAAUUACAGAAUUUUUUUUCAAACUAUUUUUUUAUCUCUUCCUCAACAGAACUCUUUUUAUUUUUUCGUAAAUGUGUGUCAUUCUAAUCGGUUAUUUCACGCGUUUUCCUUCUUCUUCUUUAAUAUAUUUGGUUUAUGUUUUUUCUUCUACUUAAUCGUCUUUGACUUUGACUUAUUAUUUAUCAUUUUUUGUCAUUUUUAACAAUUAUUCUUUUUUUUUUAAAAUAUAUAAUUGUCUUCGUCUUCCAAUUUUUCUUUUGAUCGUUUUCGUCUUCUCUGGCUUAUUAUUCUUUUGUUUCUUCUUCAUCUUAUCUUCAACCUCAACUUCUUCCGCUUCGUCCUUUUCUUCUUAUUUUUUUAGUUUUGUUUAUCGUCUUCCUCAUAUUUUUCUUUUCUCUUUUUCAUCAUAUUCAUUUUAUUCUUCUUAUUCAUCACAUUUGUCAUCUUCAAUUCCUUCUACAUAUUUUUUUCAGUUUUUAUUCAUCAUCUCCAAAUCCUUACCUUUCUCUCCUUCUUCUUCUUUGAUGUCUUGGUCUAAUCUGCAUUUUUAUUCUUCUUACGGUUUUUUAUUUUUUUUGUCUUUGUCAUAUCUUUCUUGUCUUUUCUGACUGUUUUUAUCUUAUUUUUUUUCUUUUCGUUAUCUUAUCAUUCUUCUUUUCCAUCAUCUUUGUCUUCUCUGAAUUAUAUUUUUCUAUUCUCAAUCUUCCCGUUUUUUCUUCUCACUAUUCUUCAUCAUUUUCCUUCUUUAUUGUCUUUUUAUUUUUUCCUUCGUUGUUUACUUUGUCAUCUUAAAGUUAUUCUUCUUCUUUAUUAUCUUCUUCUUCCUUGGCUUCUUUUUUAUUCAGUUUUGUCUUCAUUUUCUUCUCCCGGAUUUCUUCUUCCUCUUCUUGUUCCCUCUCAUUUCUACAUUUUCUUUGUAUUUCUUAUUCUUCAGAUGUUUCUUUAUCACAUCAUUGUCUUCUUCCUCGCCAUAUAACCUUGUAUCUAAGUAUUCUAUUAUCGGUUAUCAUUAAUCUUUUUUGUUUCUCUCUCUAAUUAUAUAUAUAUAUAUAUAUCUCGUUCCCUCCUUCCCUCUUUCUUUCUAGAAUCUCCUAAUUAUGUUAUAGUGAUAGAACUUUCAACUAUUUUAAUUUAGAUUAAAGUGAUUUUAUAGAACGACUCGCCUAAAAGUUUAUUUUUUUAAAGCUAGUUAUUUCUAGAUAGAUAUAUGUUUGACUAUUCUAAUAAUGUAUCAAGAAACAUGACGAUUCUUAGAGAAUUCAUCAAAUAUGGGGUAGAAAUGUAUCACUCUUCAAAUCUGCUAAUUUAACAGAUGACUACAAAAGUCAUAUGCUCUCUCUCUUCAACAAUUUGGCCAUAUAUGAUAUCAACAAUUAUUCUUAAUCUCUUUAUCCAAACGUACAAUAAAAAAACAUUAAAAAUACAUGCUAUAUGUAGAUUCCACUUUGCUUCAUUCCUAAAUAUUGUCCUAAUAUCCGCAAAGGUGCAUGGAUCUCUAGCAUAAUCCAAUAGAAAUCUCAAAAGAUCAACCUCUCUCGGACAAGACUCCACAACACAUCGGGUGAUCCCAGAAGUCAAGAUCUUCAUAGUGUAGCAUACCCUCUUGAACAUAGAAUGAAGAACACCAUCAACAGUUUUAAUAUCCUAAAAGUAGCACAGACCUCUCCUCACAAGCAAUAGAAGGCGAAGAUAAUGAGUUCACCAGAAUUAAGUGGACAAUCCUCUAGUACACCCGAACUCCGAGAAACUGUGAGCCGGGUAUCCAUUCACAUUGAUUCGGAUCCCAUACCCAUCUAGAAGGGAUGUUGGAAUAUAACAAUGUCAUUGCCGCUGGAUUAAGUUGAUUGCAUUCCAUCCAAGAUAUCAAUUUGCUUUUGUUCUUCGAGUCAGACACGUUGACAUCAUCAUAGAUGGAAUUUUGUGGUAAAGAAAGAUGCACCGGCAAAUAAUCAGAACCCUAUAAUUAUGAAAGAACACAUAUUAAUGGAUUUCAAUUAUGAUUAAUAGCACGGAACAGAAUCAAAUAUAAAGUUAAAAGAAAACUAUACCUUUUGGCAUCAUAUUCAGUUGCAAAAACAAUGAGAAAGGAAGCAGAAACGUGUUUAGCCAAAUCAGGUUAGGGUUUUUGGUUUAGAAAACUAAAGACGUAAUGAGAACAGAAUAACAGAAGAAUAUUAUUGAUCAGUGAAAUAUUUAUUUUGACCAUGUUUUGUUCUAUACGUAUUUAUACUUAUAAAAUAAAAAGCAUAAACGAUAUUUGUAAGGAUAAUAACUUGUAGCAUGUAUAUAUCUAUUUAAAUAAUAUAUUGGAGAUUAAUUGUUAAUUAAAGAUGAGGUGAGUGAAUGGAAAAGUUUAGGGGUUUUUUCUUGGUACUCUUAAAUUUUCGAUUUUUGGGUGUUUUUUUUUAAUUAAAACAAUAAUUGAGAUGUAUAGAAAACUAUGGUUGUUUUUUUAUAAAAAAAGUAGAUUAAUAAAGUAAUAGUUUGUUUUUAAUUAAAACAAUGAUUGAGGUGUAUAGAAAAUAAUUUUCGUUUUUAAAAAAUAUAUUAAGAAAAUAAUAGAAAAUAAUGGUCCUUUUAAAAAAAAUAUAUAUAUUAAGAAACUAAUAAUUUUUUAAUUAAAAAAUGGUAGAUUUUAAAAAACUAUAGUCGAUUUUUUUAUUUAAAAAUAUAUUUAAUUUAAAGAUAAGAUUAUAUUUUACUAAGAUUAUUAAAUUUUAACUAAAUUUAAUUUGAACCGAGUAAAUAACUAAUAACUAAAUUUAAUUUGAACCAAGUUAAAGGCUAAUAUAGACUUUUUAUUGAGGGACAAGAUGAUAAUUAACCACCUCCAAAAUCAAUGAGAGAGCUAGAAAUCAAAAAUUUACUCGGCUUAUAAUAUAUAUGAUUAAAGUUUCAAAGAUGCCCUCUCUCUAACCAGGAGAGAAGAAGACUACUUUGAAUAGAAAAGGGUAUAUGUAGAUCAUUAUAUUUUUCUCAUAGCUCCAAGUCUCUUAAUUCAAGAAAUUUCUUUACCGUACAUUUAAAGUGUGUUACACCAAGGUCGAUUACUAUCUAUAACAGUCUCUUAUAUUCUAAGAAUUGCACUUUGUGUAAUCUCUUUAAAAUCUAUAUGGCCCCUAUGUCAUAUUUUGCUGUAACCAAUCAUCCUCAAUAAAAAGUUCUUCGUUUAAAAAAAAAAUUUGUGCUCUAAGGGUGAAACGAAGAUUUUAGAAACCACUAAGAAAGAUCUGAUUGAUUAAUAUUCUCAUCAUCUGACUUAUUCAUAUAGUCAUCUUUUCAGUUGAUGGAGAAUGUUGAUGCUUAUGUUUCAAUGUGAACAUGAAAAAACACGAUAUUUCAAUUUGAGAUCAAUUAGUCAAAACACUUGACGGGGUCAAAUGUUGGAUUCGUUAUGUUAAGCUAUGAAAAUGACAAUGUUGCGUUAUUGAUUGGGUAAAAAGUUGGACUUCUUCGUGGAAAAUUCGUAUGUAUUUUGUAUUAUUAAAUAAAGGUUUAAGUUGAUUUUGUAUAAAGUAAUGCAUAAUCUUGGAACGUAACUUGCGUUGUGGUCAUUGUCCAUAGAUGGUUGAAUGUAGUUCUCACAAGUCACAAGUCCCUCGCUUUUUUUUUUUGUUUUUCUUUCUUUCUUGGCUUUCUUGCUCCUGAUAUUUGUUCGCUUCUUAGACUAAUCUGAAGAAGGUAGUUUUUUUUUGGGUUUAUAAGAAGAUAGUUAUUGGAGAGACAAAAGCACAUGGGGAAGAAGAGGGUCGUGUUCUUUAAUUCUUUGCUCUUUUUUACCAUCUUUUCAAGUUGUAGCUUUGCAGGGAUAACCACAGAGAGUCCUUUGUCAAUAGGACAAACUCUUAGCUCUCCUAAUGGAGUUUAUGAACUGGGUUUCUUCAGUCCAAAUAACUCCCAGAAUCAUCAGUAUGUUGGAAUUUGGUUCAAAGGUAUCAUUCCUCGGGUGGUUUUGUGGGUGGCCAAUAGAGAAAAACCUGUUACAGACUCCACGGCAAAUCUAACAAUCAGUAGCAAUGGAAGUCUUCUCUUAUUAGAUGGAAGACAUGGUGUUGUGUGGUCCACCAAAGAAGUUUUUGCAUCUAACGGGUCUCGUGCAGAGCUUUUAGACACCGGAGAUCUUGUUGUCAUAGACAAUGUUUCAAGAAGAACUAUAUGGGAAAGCUUUGCACAUCUUGGUGAUACUCUGCUUCCUUUCUCGCCCAUCAUGCAUGAUCUCGCCACCGGUGAGAAACGGGUGUUGACUUCUUGGAAAAGUGAUACUGAUCCAUCACCUGGUGACUAUGUAACUCUGUUUUCAUCGCAAGUGCCAUCACAGGGGUUUACUAUGAGAGGCUCAACGCCUUAUUAUAGAUCUGGUCCAUGGGCUAAAACAAGGUUCACAGGGAUACCGCUAUUUGAUGAAACUUUAGCAAGUCCGUUUAGCUUUCAGCAAGAUGCAAACGGGUCAUGGUCUUUCUCUUAUCUAGAAAGAGACUCCAAACUUUCACGUUUAGUUUUAACAUCAGAGGGUUUGCUGAAGAUUUUUCAUCUUAGUGAGACCGGCUGGGAAGUAAGCCUUGAGGCUCCAACAAAUCCAUGUGAUGUUUACGGUGUAUGUGGAGCUUUUGGGAUGUGUGUUGUGUCAGAUCCUCCGAAGUGUAGUUGCUUCAAAGGAUUUGUACCUAAAUACAUUGAGGAGUGGAAAAGAGGAAACUGGACCGGUGGUUGUGUGAGGCGCACAGAACUAGAUUGUCAAGGAAACUCUACAAGCAAAGUUGCAAAUGUCUUUCAUCCUAUUGCCAACAUAAAGCCUCCAGACUUUUACGAGUUUGUAAGUUCUGUGGAUUCUGAAGGCUGCUAUCAAAGUUGCCUCCUCAAUUGUUCUUGCUUGGCCUUUGCUUUUAUUCGUGGAAUUGGGUGCUUAAUAUGGAAACAAGAGCUAAUGGACGUAAUGCAGUUUUCUCCUGGAGGAGAGACUGUUUCCAUUCGUCUUGCACGUUCUGAACUAGGUAACACGAAAUAGUUCUCCUUUGAUAUUGUUCUUUACGUUAGUAUCAUUGCUUAUUGUUUAAUUUUUUUUUUUUUUGUCUUAUACAUCUUAGAUGGAAAUAAUCACAGGACGAAAGUUGUUGCUAGUGUUGUGAGCAUUUCCCUUUUUGUGAUAUUGGGUUCUGCUGCAUUUGGUUUAUGGAGAUACAGAGUGAAACAUAAUGGUAACUAUCUCUCUAUCGAUCUCUUGUUACUUAUCUAUUCAUAUGCUUGCUAACGGUAACACACUGAUGACUUUACUAUCUAUUCAACUCUAAAUUCAGCUAUUGUAGCAAAGAAAGCCUCACAAGAAGAGUGGAGGAAUGGUCUAAAACCACAAGAUGUCUCAGGUUUAAAUUUCUUUGAGAUGAAUACCAUUGAAACUGCCACCAAUAGUUUUAGUCUGUCAAAUAAACUCGGACAAGGUGGAUUUGGUUCAGUUUACAAGGUAAGAGAACUUUAUUUUCUUUACUCUUUUGUGUUCUCUGUUUAUGCUCUUGAGAUGACCUUCACCAUUGUGUUCAGGGAAAGCUGCAAGAUGGGAAAGAAAUUGCAGUAAAACGGCUUUCUAGCAGCUCAGGGCAAGGCAAAGAGGAGUUCAUGAAUGAAGUAGUACUCAUCUCAAAACUACAACACAAAAACUUAGUUCGAAUUUUGGGAUGUUGCAUUGAAGGAGAAGAGAGGCUACUGAUUUAUGAGUUCAUGUUGAACAAAAGCCUUGAUACUUUUCUCUUUGGUGAGUCCCUUCUUGCCUCAAAUCGUUUCCUAUUAUCAGUUUUUUCUCUCUCUGUGUAGAACAGUUUAUCUGAUAGUUUUUACACUGUAAUAUUGCUUAGAUUCAAGAAAAAGGCUUGAGAUUGACUGGCCUAAGAGAUUCAUUAUCAUCCAAGGUAUUGCACGUGGACUUCUCUAUCUCCACCGUGACUCACGCCUCAGGGUCAUUCACCGAGAUCUUAAGGUUAGCAAUAUUCUCCUAGAUGAGAAGAUGAACCCAAAAAUAUCAGAUUUUGGAUUGGCUAGGACGUAUCAGGGAACUGGAUAUCUAGACAACACUCGUAGGGUAGCAGGAACUCUGUAAGAAUCUGUUUUCUUGUUUUAAGAAUCUGUUUUGAAAAACAAGAGUCAUAGCCAUAUUCAUAUGUUAAAUUAGGUUGAAUAUUUUUUGAUAUAUGUGCAGAGGAUAUAUGUCUCCCGAGUAUGCAUGGACUGGGAUGUUCUCUGAGAAAUCUGACAUCUACAGCUUUGGAGUUCUGCUGUUAGAAAUCAUCAGCGGAGAGAAGAUAUCAAGAUUCAGCUAUGGUGAAGAAGGAAAAACUCUUCUUGCAUAUGUAAGACAGACUUUUAAGUUCUCAUAUACUUGCAAAAUUUCAUGCUCUUACAUUUUUUGAGAUAUGGAAACUUAACAACAGGCAUGGGAAUCUUGGUGUGAAAAUGGAGGAACUGAUUUGCUAGACCAAGAUGUUUCUGAUUCAAGUCAUCCAUCUGAGGUUGGAAGGUGUGUUCAGAUUGGUCUUCUUUGUGUUCAACACCAACCUAGUGACAGACCCAACACACUUGAGUUGCUGUCUAUUCUCACCACAACAUCAGAUCUUCCAUCACCAAAAAAACCCACUUUUGUAUUGCACUCGAGAGAAGAAGAAUCCUUGUCUAAGGGUUUGAGCACUGUCAAUGAGAUAACACAGUCUUUGAUCCUUGCGCGUUAAGAAAAAGUGUGUGAAUGGAAGUUGUUCAAUCCUAAAUUGUUCUCCAUUUUCCAAUGUUGAUAACUUCAACAUUAUCUCAUUAAUGUUUUUAUUUUCUAUACAACCUUUGAUGAUUGAUCAAAAGGUAAGCACGUGGUAUUGGAACAACUAAAACUUGUUUUCUUCUUCUUAAUUAAUUCUCACUAACAAAAAAACUUUUCAAUAAAUCUGCAAUUGUUUUUUUUUUUUUUUUUACUGUGAGACGAUGUGUAUUUCUCAAUUCAAUACAACUUGUCAAGAAAUCCAUUUAAUUCAACAUAUCUUGUCAAUGCCAACAUAUUUUAGCUUCGUGGUGUAUUUUUAGACAACUCCUCGAUAAGUCAAUAAGCAACAAGCCAAAAUACAUAGAAACAUAAUAAGCUAAGCCACCAGAAACUUAAAAUCCUAAUUAAGUUUCGAAACGAAAAGAGGCAUUGCAUCUCUAAAUCUAUAUAUCUUAGUUUGGUUCAGUGAUCACAGAGAUCACCUCAUUCAACAGGGCAUUCUUUUCAUAGACACAUGCACGCUUAUUGCGCUCCAACAUCUCUUCACUCUUCUUCAAUUCGACUUCUUUGACAUGCAACAACUUCAACUUAUCUUGGAUUUUCUUCUUAGUUUCGUUUGGCACCACGUUCCAUCUUUGUCUUUGCUCAACAGAAUCAAAACCAAGAAUCUCAAUCGAUUGAGCAAGAUAGGACUCUUGAAACCAUCCUUAGCCAUCGUCUUCACCAUUUUUGAUGCUCUCACUCUUCUUUAACUUAUCAUCAUCAGGAGAUUUAAAAGCCAUCUCCUCAGCUCCCCCAAUAGCCUUGGACAAUCUGAAAUGAUCCUCAUCAUCAUUGUUAUCGCUCGAAAAAGGUGCUUCUCCACUUUCUUUAUAUAUUUCUUCCAUAAAUGCUUAAUCUUUUCCAUGAGCUGGUUCAAGUUAGUCUCGAAGCUAACAAGAUCUUGGAUGAUUUGUAAAACCCUUGCCUAUCUUCAAAAGGAUCCUUCCCUGUUUCGAGAAAAAAAAAGUUUCAAUCAAGAAAAAAAAGCACUUCAGUUAAAGAACUUGCUGUUUAUUGAUGAAUAUAUAUAUCAGGGAUAAAUAUGACUGGAUAUAAAUACAGUAUGGGGAAUGACUAGGGUAAUAUUUUUCAUAAUUGCUGGAAAUAUCACUGACGUAAAAUGGUGGAUAAGUAUUACUCUAUUCAACCUCCACACCCUCUUUUACAUUAAUAAUGUCUGAAACUGGAAAAGAAAAAAAGUAUGCACUCUUAAUUUCAACAGAAUAAACUUUUAAUCAUUUCACAAUGUUAUUAAGAAAUAAUUAUCAAUAUAGACAAUUUUGGAGAUAUUAAUAUCUAUUAUAGAUAUUAAAAUGUUUUGAUAUGUACAUUCUUGAUAUUUUUAUCUUUUAUUUAACCUGAUCUAAUUUCAUUAUUUUUUACUUUUUCUCUUUUUUUUUCAAACCUUUUCUUCUUCUCCACUUCUUUCAUCAUCUCAACCAUUAUUCUCAUAUUUAAAAAUAAAAACAAAAAAUCAUCAUAUUGCUUAAUCAAAUAACAGUAAUUUUUAAAAGUCUUUGACAAAAUUUUCAAAAAAAAAAACAUAUAUAUCCAUAUAGUUACGUACAUAUAUAUCAUAUGCACAUAAAUAUGCAUAUGUAUCCAUAUAGUUACGUAAUGUAUCUAUAUAUACAUCUACGUAAACCUAUAUACAUGUAAUUAUAUAUAAAUACACAUAAUUAUAUAAAUACACAUACGUAUCUAUAUUUACGUAAUUAUAUAAAUAUAUAUAAAAAUAUAUAUGUGUAUCUAUAUGGAUAGAUCCACAUAUAUGAUAUCUAUGUAGAUCUCUAAAUAUCAUAUCUAUAUAGAUCUCUAUACGUACUCAUAUAAUUGUAUCCACGUCUAAACAACUAUAUAGAUACACAUGUAUUUAUCUUUAUAUUGAUUUCUUACCACUCAAAUCAUUACUUGAAAUUUCUUCUAACUAAGUUUCUGGAUUUUCUGUUUUCGCUCAAGAAAGUUACACUGACUAAAAAUAUGCAUUUCAGGAUGGCUCUAGUUAUGUCAAAUCUCGUUCAUACAGAGCCGACCUUGAGUUGCAUAUUUUUUUGCAUGGACUGCAAGUUAGAAAGAAAAAAUAGCCUGUUUUGCAUAAUUAUUCCAAAAAAAUGGGCCGUUUUGUUUUAGAAAAUUUUUGCAUAAAAUAAGGGCUGCAUACCGAGCAGUUUAAUGAACUCAUUUAAGAAAAAAUAACAUAAUAAGAUCUAGAAUUUGGUGAUUCUAAGAACCGGUGAAACAAAUCGGAAACCAAUCCAGACCGUUUAGAAUCUGCAAUAAUAGGCUAACUCGGCCAAAUCGCUCCUAUAGAUCUCGUAAGAUGAUAUCUUCUUACUUAUGGCAUUAAGAAGGAGGUUGAUAGAAAGAAUUAAAAACAUAAAUUAUAUAUGUAAUAUUAAUAUGAUAGAUCAGUUGAUAUAUACACUCAUUUAUUUUGAUAGAUGCUAGAUUACAUUUCAUAGAAAAAACCAUAAUAUGAAAUGCUGAUAAAUUUACUAAAGAAAGGCUAUAUACACCGAUAAAUGAAGAAUGCCUAAUGGUGUAAGAGAAGACAACGAGAUUUAAUUACCUUAACAUGAAGCAUGAGGGGAUAUCCGGUUGUCUCGUGUUAAAAGUCAACUUCACGAGAUCUGAUAAGUAGAUGCCUUAUUACUUUAUUCAUUCAAGUAAAAAGUCAGUUAGACUUAAAAAUCAAAUCAAAAUCGGUACAAAUAUAUGUUAUCACGUUUUUUUCAUGAUAACUAAGAGUUUUCACUCUUUAAAGAGGUUACCAAUACCUCUGUCCUUGUAGUACAAGGGGUUAUCAAACCAAACUUGUGAUGGAGACACUAAUCUAUGUUACUUGUGAUCUUAAGUCAAGAUGAAAGGGUAAAGAUUUUAACUAAACUAUUCAACAAGUAAAUAAGCAUAAAAGUGAAGCAAAGACAAGAUUUAAACUAAGUGAAGAUGCAAAUGACAAGCAAAUGAUUCGGAUGAUGAUAAUAUAUAAUAAAGGCAGAAGCUUUAGACAGGAUACUUGACUCAGGUGCUUUCAAGCUAAACUAAUGGGUUGAUGAAUCAGAUUUAUCAAGCGGUUUCAUUUAACUUGAACUCAAAGCAUGUUAAUCUUCUCAUGAAAGUAUUAAAUAUCUAAACUGAUCCUCUUUCAUACCAAAAUCCCUUUUAAGAAACAUGAAUCAGUCAGCAAUAAGAUUCAGUUCAAUAUGUCAUUUAAGAGAACAAACUAUCACUCUCGCGAUGAAAGACUCUUAAACCUUUAACCGAGUGGUUCAGACAUUUCUACAAACACUUUUGAUGCGAGAUAUGUCUCAGAUCGGAACCUCAAGUGAUGUGCUUGGAUCCAGCCUAGAGAUCUCGUCGGUUAAAGAAUGAAACAUGCAAGACUAGACACCUAAACCCACUAAUCUAUCUUGAAAGCACCCUAAUCUACCUAUCUAAAGCCGCUUAAACGACUACUCACUGAUCAUAACGAGCUCACUAAGUCCUUUGCAAGACGUGUAGCUAGUCAUGAUUAGGAGUUUAAUACUGGAUGAUAAAAGAAAAUAAAGAAAGAACAAGAUUCAGAUGCAAAAACGAGAUAUCGGAUUAGAUUAAUCAAGUUUCACAAAAGAGGCAAGUUCUUAAGGCUAAAAGAUGAUAAGAGAUAAGAUGAUUAGGUUUUUGGUCCUAAAAUGUAUUUAUAGCAAAGAGAAAGUGUCGCGGGUCAGCCCGGAACAAAUUGGGUACGGAGCCGCCUUCUCGGGUUGAUGGGUGAGUGCCACGGUGUGUCGGAGAGUGAAGCCGAGGCCUUGAUGUCGAGGAGUGCACGUGAGCAAAGAUCGAAAUGGAGAUCUCGUGAAGAACACGUCAAGAAUAUGCAUGGACCCUAGUCUUUGAUCCGUCUUCACGUGUGUGUUCUUGAGCCGUCUUGUUCCUGAUUCUGGAGUUGUGACAAGAGACCUCGCCAUAAAAUGUCGCGGGGCUUGGUAGUCGAGGGCUUCGGGAGAACAGAGUCCGGCAUGCACGCCGAGGCCAUUACACCGAGGUGCACGUUCAACACUUAGUCGUUUCCAGCUUCAUUUCUUACGUGUGCAUGCCUUGAUCUCAUCAUGCCGAGGUGUCAGCACAAGGUCUUGUCCAAAAUAUUCUCAAGAUAUGAGCCUUGACUUGAGCAAUGUCGAGGUAAUGAUGCCGAGGCCUGAGAAAACACUUAGCGCGUAUUGCAACUCAUUUAGGCUUGUAUCGACCGACUUGCCUUCCGGAAGCAGUAACUUUCAACACACGACUCCAAUUGCUUUGAGACCAGUUCCAUAGUCUAGAUGACUCAAUAAGCUCGAACUUUGGUGAAGAAACCGUCGGAGCUUGGGGAGUGGAAGGCUUCUUGGAUUUCGCAUCUUUGCACCGCAUCAGAAUCACCGGAAAAUAAUCUUUUGGACAGAUGUGAACUCCGGAGACCGUAUCUUUCGACUACUCAGAAUUGAGUGAUUCUAAGCGUUACGAAAAGUUCAUUCACAGAUCUCAAACUUUGAUGAAGACCGGGAAGGCUGGUUCGGACCGGAAGGGCUCCGUCCCUCGUAAUCUUUAAAGUCCGCUGUUCGGUUCUCGGGUGCGCGUAAUACUGGUGCAUCCUCCGGAGACCAUAUCUUUCUCCUCACUGGUCCGAAUUGGAUGAUUCCAACUGUUCUGGGAUCUUUGCUUGAUUAUCUACAAUUUUGAUGAAGACCCCGCCAACUGACUCGGACCGGAAGGUUCCCCGGAUUGCUGAUCUUUGAAACGCGCGGGUAAGGAUGAGUUUUAACCGAGAAAAGCUUCCCGCGGUAAGGAAAAUGGUCGAGGGCUGUAUACCGCGGUAAGUUUUUAGCCGUAAAAUCCUUCUCGACUCGGUCUAAAAUUUCACCCGCGGGAAUUUUCACCCGAUACUCGAUUUUAACCGAUUUUGGCAGUUCGGUAAGGGUUUUGACCGAGGUUCCAGUCCAGCCGGUACGAUUUUUGGCCGAGAAAUUCCUCCAAGCGGUUUUCACCAUUUUUAACCCUUUUCUUCACCGUUUUCUUUCCUGCUCCUCUUCUUGAGCUCCAAAUGGCCUCCAAAGCACCUGAUAAAGACUUCAAAACAUGCAAAACUCUUUGGGACCUAAUGCAAGCCCUAAAUCCUAUUUUGAUGCAAAAUAUAGACAUAUCAACUCCCCCACACUUGUCCUUUGCUUGUCCUCAAAGCGAAAAGAACAAAUGAGAGAAAGAGGUUGUAGUGGAAAUGGAGCUCAUAUUUCCUUUUUAGAGAGAAGUGAUCACAAUGAGAACUCGGAUUCAUGCUCAAAUAUGCCAUGCAAAGCUAUACUCAGAUAUUUACCAACUAAAGCACGGAAUCUCCACAAGUUCUUAUCAAAUUCAACUCUUUCACAUUCAUUACGUUCGUAACCGGUGAAUCAAAUGAUGCAAUGUUCAAACAGGCUGGUUUGACUAGGGUAAGGUCAUGAGAUAAAAAUGAUCUCAUCAAUAUUCAAGCGGGUGCAAUGCAACAAAGGGAUCUCUCUAUGAACGACCAAACUUUGGCAGAAUGCUAAAGGUAAAAAGCAACCUAUGCAUACAAGGGCAAAACUCAUCACACCCCACACUCCACUCAAAGUUUUCUCACUUGCUCACCCUCUCAAGAUCCUCACUCUUCACAAUCGAUUUCUUUUCACUAGGGGACUCACUUCUCGAUUUCAUUCUCGGGUCUUGGAGUUCACUUAUCCACACAGCUCUUUCUUUCACAACUUCUAGCCUCUUUUCUUUUUCUUUUUAGAACACUUGAGCUUUUUGGCUUCUUUUCUUUUUAUUUCAUUCAGAGGCUAACUUUUCUUUUAAAAACAUCAGAGCUCACUUCCUCGAAUUCACAACUCCAAGACUCAUUUCUUUUUCUUUUAUUCCCCUAGCUAUUUCCACUCUCUCUCUUCCACUCAUCUCACCUUUUUCCACUCACCAACAAAUCGUCUCCCCCACACUCAUUUCUCGCCAGUACUCUCAGUUCCUUGAUGUUGGAACAUAGCACUCAAUGAGACAUGCCCUUGUCGCUCUAAACCUAACACUUUCUGCUAAGCUUGGUCCAAGGUGGCCUUUCAAUUCACACACAAACAUUGGCUCGAAAGAAAGAUGGGUUCAAGGCGAGAGAACUGAUCCAUGAUGCGGUCUCAGCUACUUGAGCUAAGGAAGAAGGGUGGUAAAAGCAACGAUUCUAGCUCAAGUAUGUAUAUCGGUAUCCACAAGCCUAUUCAAGCAAUGCAUCAAAAGAUAUUUUCAAUUCAAGUUCAGGGUUAUCACUUAGUUAGAGUCGAGUUCAAUUCAAACUUGCUUCUCAGAUUCAAAUCGUUUCAAGCUUUACAAGCACAGAAUGAGUUUCACAAGCAUUUUUAGUUCAAGUUCUCAAGUGAUUUACUCUCUAGGAAAAAACCUAUCAUUGCUCCUUGCACUGAUGCAAUCCUACAUGAUGCACUAGACUCGAUCUUAAAAUGCGAGAUGCAACUAGAAUGAUGCAUUUUUGUGAAAAUUUUCAGGUUUAUCAUAUGCAAUGAGCUAGAUGAGACUCAAGAAUGUAAAAGUCAAAUAAGAACAAAGAAAACAAGAUUAGAAAACACAAAGCUCCUCCCCCACACUUAAAUAACACAGUCCCUUGUGUUAUAAAAGCGUGUGAGAGAAGUAAAAAGACAAACUAAACAAAUGCAAGAUGGUAUAUACAAGAUGCAUAUUUACAAUGGUUUGAAGUCGAUACCUCAGUCUGAGAGGUCUGAUCCCAAGUAGUACGAGGGAUUUGAUGUUGAGCAGGAGGGUGUGGACUGACGUGGUGGGCUGCUCUCCGAGGGUUCAGGUAAGAAAGCCGUGGCAGGAUCGAUCCAGUCCUCUUUGCCUGGUGGAAACUCCGGGUUCCUCGCGUUUGAGCUUUCCCCAACCUCUUCUUGUGUAACCGGUGCGGUUGAGGUCGCCGAGUUCUUGUCCGGUGAGGAUGGCCUGGUGAGUUGCCUGACCUUCUUUUUCAAGUGCCUUACAUAGUCCACCAACGCGUGAAUGGUCUUGUCUUGCCACUUAUACCACUUUUGGAGGGUGUUCACUCUCGAAUACAGCUUCUUGGUGUGGUAUUCAGGCUCACCCCACACAUAUGGAUCAAAAUGAUAUCGGCCCGCUCCUAUCCUUCUCUCAGAGUAUCUCUGUUCUUCGUUCUCACAUCCGGCGUGCCAUUCUCGUUCUGAGGUUUGCUAGAUGCGGCUUUGGUGUACUUGCGCAUUGGUGGGUCGAGAGAUGGGUUGUACAACUGAUCUUUGAGGACAUAGAAGGAGACGUUACACUGUUUAUCAAGCAUGGUGAGGCCUCGGUUAGGCAGUCAAACCUGUGUCCCAUCUCUGUGCAUCAGCGUAAAGUUGUAAACCCAUUUGUCCCCUGACUUGCCUCCGAAGAAACCACUUUUACUUAGGUAUUGCUCAUCAAUGAGAUUCGGCUUCGACGGUGAAUCAGAGAAUAUAAACCCUUGAGCUCUCAAAAUCUUAGUGAAAAUCCAACCGUUCUGAAGCCUCCUUGACCCUUUCUUCUUUCGGUCGCACCAUACAUUGUGGCGGUAAGUAAGCAUUUGAAUCGCAAAGAACGCGCCUAAAGAGGGUACAUGCAUUGGUCCUUGGAACUCCUUAUUCUUCAUUUGAGUGAUGAGCGGCUUCAGUCCAAGUCCUAAUAGUUCAAGCUCGGCCGUAUGAAUAACACCAGGGUUAUAGGUCGAGAAGAAUGUAGAGGCUAGGACUCGGUUUGUAUAUCUGAUCGCAGGGUUUCUGAUGCAACUUGUCUUGCUCUUGCCUCCUAAGUAAGGUCCGAAGGCAAUUGUUUCCCACAGGGCAGCCAACUCUUCUUUUGGGUACACAAACUUGUCAAGCGAGCUUCCGUUCCUCUCAAAACCAAAUAUCUCAUCAAGCUCCUUGAAACUGACCUUGUAGUGCACGCCUUCCAUGUCAAACUCUAUGUGCCCGAACCCUUUGCCAUGUAAGCGUUUGGGAUCUCUCUUGGGGUUGAUGAAAACCUCCAGAGUGGCAAGAAACUGUUGUGUGAUCCCCUCAGAAGCAACAUCGCUCAUCUCAAAGAACUCGGCCAAGCCCAUGUUUUGAAAGAUGAGGGUAACAUCAUCAAGUAUCUCAAGCUUUCUCAACAACUCCAUAUCCGGGAACCGACCUUGAGCCACUCUUAUAGAGUUAAAAUGGUCCAAAUACUCCUCAGUUGUCGGGAAGUGCUCUUCCUCGGGCUUGGCCUUCGGUUCCUUCUUUGGCCGCUUGCCACAAUUGGCUUCAUGAGGGACCAGGGCUCUGAGAUCGUCUUCAUCGGACCCAAUGGCUGCCUGCUUCCCAUUCCUUCUUGAUUCAAGAGCCUGUGCCGGAGUGAGCUCGGCGUUCCUUGCUCGUUUAGCGGCUGGUUCGCCAUCGGGUCUUGUUGAGGGUUUCUUGCUUGUUCCACCAUUACGUGCCAAGGCAACGGCUUUUCCUUUCGUACCCCUCCUCUGGACCUCGCUUUUGUUCGUCUCAGGAGCAGGAACGGUUCGUUCGCCGGUCAUCUGCAAGGGAGAUUCUCAAGGAAACCGUUAGAAUCAAGUGUAUCGCUAAGCACAUGUAUCUCAAGAUGGCAAGAACAGAGCUUUUUCUUUAACAAGACCGGUUUUAUAGCUUCUUAACCAGACCGGUAUGGGCUGGAGUGCGCUUUCCAGCUGGCAUUUAGACUGUUGUGGGACUGGUACCCCCCUCUGCUCCAACUCCAGCCGUUGACCGCGCCAAAAACCUUCUUGACCGGGCGUUUGAAUUCAAAAUGCCGCGCAAAGCCUUCAAAUGGACGCGGUAUGGGAAUGACGUGGGCCGUACGGUCUAGACCGAUUUUUCUCGUGUUAACAUGAGCGGCCUCGACUUGUUCCACCAUGAGGGUACCAAGCCGAGUGGUUUGAGCUCAUGUUAACAAGUAAAUUUCUGUGGCCUUCAAGUCUUUUCCUUAGACCGCGCAAAGCCUCUUCUUCGAUCUAAGUGUUCCAAGUGUUCUUGUUUUUGAUCGUUUUUGAAACCGGGCACCUCGGCACGCUCCACCACGAGGGUAUCAUGCCGAGGUCACUUGUUUUAACAAAGAACAUUUGGUGCUUGGGGGUUUAAACGGGCUGGCCUUGUUGUAAACUGGUCGCGGCCUCGGAUCAAAGUUUUUAACCGUUUAAAGUAGACAUGGUUCCUCGGAUUGCUUAUACCGAGGUGUUUACACCGUGAGCCUCCCCCAUACUUAGUCAUUUCACCACUUCACUUCAUAUACACGGCCAUGAUGAAAAUAAGUCGAGGAGUUUAGCUGAGGUUCUCAAGCUUUCACUCGGUAAAAGGUGACCGCGGUAUGAAUAUACCGAGGGUCGAUACCGAGGCUAUGAAUACUCUCUGACUUAAAUUAUCAGGCUGUGUCUUUUUCAAGCUUUUCUCUCUUUCAGCCUCAAGGCUCACUGUAUAACUCCUGAAACACUUAACAAACCCUUCAAAAAGCUUCAAAUAAAAGGAAAAAGAAGAUGAAAAACGAAAUAUGUACAAGGAUAAGCUUGGGGUGUCUCCCAAGAGCACUUUGUUUAACGUCUCUAAGUUUGACUCUUCAUACCUUCUCAGGCUGUUUCCGGUUCAAGAAGAGGAACUGAGGUAGCUCCCUCUCUUGUUUCUGAUGCCAAGUAAUGUUUUACCCUCUGACCGUUUACCACAAAACCUUGUCCAUCUUUUCCUUUUAGAACGACGGCUCCAUAGGGUCUUACUUCAAGAAUUGUGAACGGUCCGGACCACCUAGACCUUAGCUUCCCAGGGAAUAGCUUAAGCCUCGAGCUAAACAACAGAACUUGGUCCCCUUCUUUGAACUCUCUCUUGUGUAUCUUCUUGUCAUGGAGCGCCUUGGUUCUUUCCUUGUAGAUUUUAGAGCUCUCAAAAGCGUCUAAACGGAUCUCCUCAAGCUCGUGAAGCUGUAACACUCUCUUCUCUUGUGCGGUCUUGAUAUCAAAGUUCAGAAGUUUCACUGCCCAAAGAGCUUUGUACUCCAACUCAACCGGUAGAUGGCAGCUUUUCCCAUAGAGCAAGUUAAACGGUGAGGUUCCAAUGGGGGUCUUGUAUGCGGUUCUGUAAGCCCACAAAGCAUCAUCAAGUUUCUUGCUCCAAUCCUUCCUAGAUGAGCUUACGGUUCUUUCCAAAAUGGCCUUUAUCUGUCGGUUUGAGACCUCCACUUGGCCGCUGGUCUGCGGAUGGUAAGGGCUGGCUACCUGGUGCUUUACUCCAUGCUUCUUCAAAAGACUUUCAAGAGUCUUGUUGAUGAAAUGGCUUCCCCCAUCACUGAUGACUACUCUUGGGACUCCAAACCGUGGGAAAAUAAUGCUCCUGAAGAGUUUUACCACCACUUUUGAAUCGUUGGUUGGAGAUGCAACCGCUUCAACCCAUUUACUCACAUAGUCCACCGCGACAAGGAUAUACUGAUUCCCAUAUGAACUUACAAAGGGGCCCAUGAAGUCAAUGCCCCAACAGUCGAAGACCUCUACUUCAAAGAUUGGAUUUUGAGGCAUUUCAUUCCUCUUGGAUAUGUUACCGUGCCUUUGACAAGCUUCACACCUCGAGACUACAUCUUGAGCGUCCUUGAACAUAGUCAGCCACCAGAAACCGCUUUGUAAAACCUUGGCAACCGUCUUGAAUGCACCUAAGUGACCACCAUACGAUGAACCAUGGCAUUCUUGUAGCACCGGAUGGAUCUCUUCUUCGGCCAAGCAUCGCCUAUAGAGAUGGUCCUUGUUAAGCACGUAAAGAUACGGCUCAUCCCAAUGAUAUCUCAUCACAUCUCUAAAGAACUUCUUCCUCUGAUAAGUAUCAAGAUCUGGUGGCUCUAAACCGCAAGACAAGUAGUUCACUAGAUCUGCGAACCAUGGGAGGCUUCUUUCCUUGAUCGUGUUGGCCUCCUCCUCUUCUAAGUAAGACCUGACUAGCAUGAGGGUUUCCUCUGGUAAAGCAUCAUCUAUGGGGACCUGUUCUUCAAUCCUCAGCCUAGAGAGGUGAUCUGCGGCUCCGUUCUCAAUGCCCUUCUUAUCAAGUAUCUCCAUGUCAAAUUCUUGGAGCAACAAAACCCAUCUUAAAAGCCUCGGCUUAGCGUCCUUCUUAGACAUCAGAUACCUCAAGGCCGCGUGAUCUGUGUAGACCGUGACCUUUGAUCCCACAAGAUAACUCCUAAAUUUAUCAAAUGCAAACACAAUGGCAAGCAUUUCCUUCUCGGUGGUGGCAUACUUUUCUUGAGACGAGUCCAAGGUGCGGCUUGCGUAAUAGAUCACAUGGAGCUUCUUAUCUUUCUUCUGCCCCAAGACAGCUCCCACAGCAUAAUCAGAUGCAUCAGUCAUCACUUCGAAUGGUAAAGACCAAUCAGGGGCUUGUACAAUCAGUGCACUGAUCAAAGCCUCCUUGAUCUUCUUAAACGCUUCCUCACAUUCUUCAUCAAAGACAAACUCCACUUCUUUGCACAAUAGCCUAGUCAAGGGUCUAGCUAUCUUGGAGAAAUCUUUAAUAAACCGCAUAUAGAACCCUGCGUGGCCAAGGAAGCUUCUUAUUCCUUUUACCGAGUUCGGAGCUUGUAGGUUCACCAUCACCUCGAUCUUAGCCUUGUCUACCUCAAUGCCCUUCUCUGAUACCUUGUGUCCCAAGACAAUCCCUUCUUGGACCAUAAAAUGGCACUUCUCCCAGUUCAAGACAAGCCUAUGCUCCUCACACCGCUUAAUAACCUGAGAUAGAUUAGCAAGACAUUCGGAGAAAGAGGAGCCGUAUACGGAGAAAUCAUCGAUGAACACCUCAACUUUCUCUUCAAUUAGAUCAGAGAAAAUGUGCAUCAUACAUCUUUGAAAAGUGGUCGGUGCAUUACAUAAACCGAAAGGCAUUCUCCUAUAGGCAUAAGUGCCAUAAGGGCAAGUAAAUGAUGUUUUCUCUUGAUCUCGGGGGUCUAUAGGGAUUUGAAAGAACCCUGAGUACCCAUAAAGAAAACAAAAAUAAGGAUGAUUAGCUAGCCGUUCAGGCAUUUGAUUAAUGAAUGGUAAAGGAAAAUGAUAUUUUCUUGAUGCAGAAUUCAAUUUUCUAUAGUCAAUGCACAUGCGAUGGCCGGUUAUAGUUCUUUGGGCUAUGAGUUCAUCCUUAUCGUUUUUCACCACCGUGAUCCCACCUUUCUUGGGCACAACGUGUACAGGAGAUACCUACCGUGAGUCAGAGAUUGGGUAAAUUAUCCCUACCUCAAGGAGUUUUAGUAUCCCCUUCUUAACCACCUCUUUAAGGUUCGGGUUAAGGAGACGUUGGUGCUCAAUAGAGGACAUAGCUUGGUCCUCUAGGUGGAUCCUGUGGGUGCAUAUGUCAGGAGAGAUCCCUCUAAUAUCAGCCAAAGAAUACCCUAUGGCUCUCCUGAACUUUCUUAUUUCACUAAGCAAUGCACGCUCUUCAUGUUCAAGCAAGCUAUCGUUACUUAUCACAGGAAAGGUGGAGUUUAGACCCAAGAAAGCAUACCUGAGCCCUGUUGGUAGAGGCUUGAGCUCAACAGGGGGUGCAUCAGCCUCAUUCCAAUCGGCAUCAAAGCUGCAUUGGCUCGGAACAGCUUCCUCGGCCUUUUUCCUUGUUCUCGCGUGGUUUACCAUCGGCCUUGGCACAAGCUGUCACGGCCAUGAUAUCCCGAGGUGUCUCCUCUAUACCUUUGGACCCCUCGUUGUCUAAAAUUUUGAGGCCGCUCUGCCUGAGCUCCAAAAACCUCGUCUCAACUCCAAGUUCCUUCGGUUGGUCCAAAAGACGCUUGUACACCUCGCUUUCCUCGUUCAAGUAUCCGUGCUCGCUUUGUUCUCGUGUCAAGACCACUUGUAACGGGUCUUCUGCGUUUAACUCCUCUAAGAGCUCACCAGCUAGCUCUUCCAUAACCUCCACAUAGAAAACUUGACCUCCAAUGGUAGGUUUCUUCAUCAUUUCCUUCACGUUGAACUUCAUAGUCUCGGAACCGAUGUGUAGUUCAAUCAUACCCCCUCUCACAUCGAUUAUGGCUCCAGCGGUUGCUAAGAACGGUCGGCCCAAGAUAAUGGGGUCUAGGGGCUCCUCGUCCAUAUCAAGAACUAUGAAGUCCGUGGGGAUUUCUAUUUCACCGAUUCUCAAAGGUAAAUCCUCAAGCAAACCCACCGGUAAUCUAACCGAUCUAUCAGCUAACACAAGAGAGAUCUUGGCCGGCUUGUAGCUUUUGUAUCCCAGUCUCUUGGCCACCGUGUAAGGCAUUAAGCUCACAGAAGCUCCAAGAUCAGAUAAGCAGUUUGAGAACUUCAAGUGACCUAAAGCACACGGUAAAGUAAAGCUGCCCGGAUCGGAUAGCUUUCUUGGUAUAGAUCUUCUUUGUAUUAUAGCGCUGCACUCAUGGCUCAAUAUUACCAUACCCUGGAGCUCCUUUGUCUUGUUGAGGAUCGCGUCCUUUAGAAACUUUCCAAGCUGAGGUAUAGCUAAGAAAGCAUCUAUGAUGGGUAAGGUAAGUUGCGUGUUCUCCAAGUGUUUCUCAAAGACCGCCUUGGCUUUGUCUAGGAUUUUCUUUUUGAAAUGCCCUGGGAAUGGUAUCUUGGGUUGGUAAGGUGGUGGUGGAACAUAGGGCUUUUGAAGCUCAGGUAUCUUUUCCACCUCGUUACCUUUGUCUUCAACCGGUUCCUUCUCCAAAACCUCUUUUUUAUGCGCAUCAUCUGAGGCUGCCUCCCCCUCUAGUUGCUCAUUGGCCUCAAUGAGCUUUGUCUUAGGCGUUGGAGCUUGUAGUUCUUUACCACUCCUCUAUGUGAUGGCGUUCACAUACUCCUUGGGGUUUGGCUCCGGCUUACCUGGUAAAGCCGGGCCUCUUGAUGAUGUAGAAGCUUGGUUUUGCUUAAGCUCUCUGAUAUCUUGCUGCAUUGUUGCGUGCUGGCUCUCCACUCUCUGCUGACCCUGUAACAGUUGCUGUAAAAUCCCACAGACAUCGGUUCCCAUCUGAUUCUGACCCGUUCCCUGAAUCUGUUGCGGAUUACCCAUCGGCUGCGGAUUGAACCCUGGUGGAAACUUGUGUUGUUGCGGUUGGCUGUUGAAGUUGGUACCCUGAGUCGCCUGAUCCUGCUGAGUGUAACCGUGCUGUUGCCCACUGAACUGUUGCUUGGGCUGGAAGUUAUUCGGAAAUGGAGCUUUUUGAGCAUAGCUUUGUUGUUGUUGUUGAGCAGGGUAUACCUGGUCUUGAGGGUUAGCUACAUUUGGGUUUCUGUAAGAGAGGUUUGGGUUAUUGGUGUAGUUGGUAAACCGCUGAUACCUCUGCUGAUUCCCUAUGUAGUUCGGCUCCUCUUGAGUUAGACCAUCUUCAUUAACAUUGUCAAAACUAGGCCCUUGCUCAUCAAACUCGCCCACGAAGUGUAUUGGCUUUUGAGUCGCCAUUAAAACCUUGUCAAGCUUGCUCUGAAGUUCUCUUAUAUCCUUCUUCAUGCGCUGUUCAUCACUAGAUCCCUCUGAACGGUUUGCUCUAUCAAAGUCUUCACCAUACGUGUCAUUGGACAUGGCGAGGUUUUCCACUAGUUCCAUAGCCGCAUUGAUCUCUUUCCCAAGAAAAUUUCCAUUUGAAGCUGUAUCGAGUUGAUUUCUGAUCUUGGGGAGUGCACCUCGGUAUAAAGUACUCAAGAGGGAUGCCUCCGAGAAGCCGUGGUGUGGGCAUUGGUUAGUAUAGCUCCUAAACCGUUCCCAAGCUUCACUAAAGCUCUCAUUAUUGUGUUGCGUGAAACUUGAGAUCUGAUUCCUGAGCUUAGCCGUGCGUGAUGUGGAAAAGAACUUUGAUAAGAACGCCAGUUUACACUGUUCCCAUGUUUGUAUAGAACCCCUCGGGAGGUUCUUUUCCCACUGGUGAGCUUUAUCACCGAAGCUGAAUGGGAACAAGCGUAGCUUGAAGCUAUCUUCUGAGACGCCAUUGAUCUUUGUUAAGUCGCAAACCCGAUCAAACUGAUCUAGAUGCUCAAGAGGAUCUUCUCCGGCUAGACCGUGGUACUUGGAGUUCUGCACCAUAUUGAGCAGGGAAGCUUUAACUUCAAAGUUGUUAUUUUGAACCGGUGGUGCUUGAAUCUCGGCUCUAUAUUGGUGCGCAUUAGUUCGGUCAUUUUCUUCAACAAAGACCGGAGGAGAUUGUCUCUGAGCUUGUGGCGGUGGCGGAUGAACAUGAUGGGCUUGUUGCUCAUUUCUAUUCGCUUGUUGUUGGUUUUGCUGAGCAAGCCUUUCGUUUCUUUGAGCCUGUUGUUGGUUAACAUAGGCUUGUUGUUAAUUUCUUCCUGCCUGCGCCUGAUUAGCCUGAGCCUGGUGUUCGGCAUCCUGAGCCUGUUGCUCGAUCCUUUGCUGUUCUGCCAUUCCAAGCCUUUCAAAGUGCCGUUCGCUCUCGCGAGCUCGCCUCUCAAUCCUGUUGCUGUUAUUGUCGUAGGGUAAAGGCGGUUCUGUGCUGCGAGACCUGGUUUUCAUGCACCUGAAAUCAAAACAAGAACUUGCAAAAGUGUCAGUAAAACAAAAGAAAGUAAAGUCUUGAUCUUAAGCACAAAUAAGGGACUAAUGCUCCCACAAGUUGGCAACGGCGCCAAUUGAUAACUAAGAGUUUUCACUCUUUAAAGAGGUUACCAAUACCCCUGUCCUUGUAGUACAAGGGGUUAUCAAACCAAACUUGUGAUGGAGACACUAAUCUAUGUUACUUGUGAUCUUAAGUCAAGAUGAAAGGGUAAAGGUUUUAACUAAACUAUUCAACAAGUAAAUAAGCAUGAAAGUGAAGCAAAGACAAGAUUUAAACUAAGUGAAGAUGCAAAUGAAAAGCAAAUGAUUCGGAUGAUGAUAAUAUAUGAUAAAGGCAGAAGCUUUAGGCAGGAUACUUGACUCGGGUGCUUCCAAGCUAAACUAAUGGGUUGAUGAAUCAGAUUUAUCAAGCGGUUUCAUUUAACUUGAACUCAAAGCAUGUUAAUCUUCUCAUGAAAGUAUUAAACAUCUAAACUGAUCCUCUUUCAUACCAAAAUCCCUUUUGAGAAGCAUGAAUCAGUCAGCAAUAAGAUUCAGUUCAAUAUGUCAUUUAAGAGAACAAACUAUCACUCUCGCGAUGAAAGACUCUUAAACCUUUAACCGAGUGGUUCAGACAUUUCUACAAACACUUUUGAUGCGAGAUAUGUCUCAGAUCGGAACCUCAAGUGAUGUGCUUGGAUCCAGCCUAGAGAUCUCGUCGGUUAAAGAAUGAAACAUGCAAGACUAGACACCUAAACCCACUAAUCUAUCUUGAAAGCACCCUAAUCUACCUAUCUAAAGCCGCUUAAACGACUACUCACCGAUCAUAACGAGCUCACUAAGUCCUUUGCAAGACGUGUAGCUAGUCAUGAUUAGGAGUUUAAUACUGGAUGAUAAAAGAAAAUAAAGAAAGAACAAGAUUCAGAUGCAAAAACGAAAUAUUGGAUUAGAUUAAUCAAGUUUCACAAAAGAGGCAAGUUCUUAAGGCUAAAAGAUGAUAAGAGAUAAGAUGAUUAGGUUUUUGGUCCUAAAAUGUAUUUAUAGCAAAGGGAAAGUGUCGCGGGUCAGCCCAGAACAAACCGGGUACUGAGCCGCCUUCUCGGGUUGAUGGGUGAGUGCCACGGUGUGUCGGAGAGUGAAGCCGAGGCCUUGAUGUCGAGGAGUGCACGUGAGCAAAGAUCGAAAUGGAGAUCUCGUGAAGAACACGUCAAGAACAUGCAUGAACCCUAGUCUUUGAUCCGUCUUCACGUGUGUGUUCUUGAGCCGUCUUGUUCCUGAUUCUGGAGUUGUGACAAGAGACCUCGCCAUAAAAUGUCGCGGAGCUUGGUAGUCGAGGGGUUCGGGAGAAUAGAGUCCGGCAUGCACGCCGAGGCCAUUACACCGAGGUGCAAGUUCAACACUUAGUCAUUUCCAGCUUCAUUUCUUACGUGUGCAUGCCUUGAUCUCAUCAGGCCGAGGUGUCAGCACAAGAUCUUGUCCAAAAUAAUCCCAAGAUAUGAGCCUUGACUUGAGCAAUGUCGAGGUAAUGAUGCCGAGGCCUGAGAAAACACUUAGCGCGUAUUGUAACUCAUUUAGGCUUGUAUCGACCGACUUGCCUUCCGAAAACAGUAAUUUUCAACACACGACUCCAAUUGCUUUGAGACCAGUUCCAUAGUCAAGAUGACUCAAUAAGCUCAAACUUUGGUGAAGAAACCGUCGGAGCUUGGGGAGUGGAAGGCUUCCUGGAUUUCGCAUCUUUGCACCGCAUCAGAAUCACCGGAAAAUAAUCUUUUGGACAGAUGUGAACUCCGGAGACCGUAUCUUUCGAACCAUUACUCCGAAUUGAGUGAUUCUAAGCGUUUCGGAAAUUUCAUUCACAGAUCUCAAACGUUGAUGAAGACCGGGCAGGCUGAUUCGGACCGGAAGGGCUCCGUCCCUCGUAAUCUUUGAAGUCCGCUGUUCGGUUCUCGGUUGCGUGUAAUACUGGUGCAUCCUCCGGAGACCAUAUCUUUCUCCUCACUGGUCCGAAUUGGAUGAUUCCAACUGUUCUGGGAUCUUUGUUUGAUUAUCUCCAACUUUAAUGAAGACCCCGCCAACUGAUUCGGACCGGAAGGUUUCCCGGAUUGCUGAUCUUUGAAACGCGCGAGUAAGGAUGAGUUUUAACCGAGAAAAGCUUCCCGCGGUAAGGAAAAUGAUCGAGGGCUGUAUACCGCGGUAAGCUUUUUAGCCGUAAAAUCCUUCUCGCCUCGGCCUAAAAUUUCACCCGAGGGAAUUUUCACCCGAUACUCGAUUUUAACUGAUUUUGACCGUUCGGUAAGGGUUUUGACCGAGGUUCCAGUCCAGCCGGUACGAGUUUUGGCCAAGAAAUUCCUCCAAGUGGUUUUCACCAUUGUUAACCCUUUUUUUCACCGUUUUCUUUCCUGCUCCUCUUCUUGAGCUCCAAAUGGCCUCCAAAGCACCUGAUAAAGACUUCAAAACAUGCAAAACUCUUUGGGACCUAAUGCAAGCCCUAAAUCCUAUUUUGAUGCCUAAGGACUCAAUUUACAUGAGAAAACACAUGAUGAGGACUCUAAAAUGCAAUCUAAAUGAUGCAAAAUAUAGACAUAUCAUUCAUCCAAACAGAGCUUCAUAAACACCACAAAGGUUCUGACUCAAGAAAAAGAAAAACUUAUGUUAGUUCUUGUUGGUGUUGUAUUUACCCGUUACCGCUAAACUUUAAACAACCAACGACUUUAUUAAGUCUGACAUGGGCACGUUAAUCUUGGUGUCAGUCGCAUAAAUGCUCAAUUUUGAAGUUAUUAAACAAUAGCACGUAAAGAGUGACCAAGUCAAAAACAGAUCUUUGAUUACGAUCACGUAAAAAGAACUCUCCUCAUAUCGCGGGCACGUGAGGACGUGAGAAGAAGUCGUCCAAAAGCGAGCAAGGUGAAGCACGUGCAACAAUAAACCUACAUGUAACAUGAAAAUCAACUCCUAUAAAAAUUCGAAAGCUAUCUUCACUAAGGGAAUCCAUUUUUACGCUCGAAGAGAGGAAUGCAACUAGUCUAAUAAUUCUACUUCAACUAAAAAACUGUUACCGAGAAGUUGAUAUACCAAGAAGUUGAUACGAUUAUACGAAUUUAUUUCGAAAGAUACACAUAUCUGAUGUACUUUUAAUUUAUCGGCACAUUGUAAGUAAAACCCCAAGUAAAAAGGUUGCUUUUCGAUAUCUAAGUAAAUUAGACGCUAGACAUUGAGUUUUUGAUCGAUUAUUGCCAAAACAUUUCUAAGUCCCGUCACACUAGAUGGGAUCAUGGGAACAUUCUAAGAAAGUGGACUCUUAAUCUUAGGAUGGGUAAGAUAUGAUGAAAAUGACAUGAUCAUUAAGUAUGGUCCGAUUCACGGCACGAUUCCUCACAAUAUUUGUUUGAUUAAAACAAAAAGGCUAACUAAUGGUAAUUAAAAAUUACUUUCGAUAUGUUAUUUAUGUAUUUCUUUUCUAUUUAUAAAUUCAUUUUAUCUAUAUACUUAUUUGUGUAGUAAAAAGCUGAAGUGUCGUACUCACAACAAAUUUUAUAGUGUUUCGCUUACGUGUCAUCGCCAGAAUGAGUUUCAGCUGCAAAAAGACAUUUUUACCUCAUUUAGUUACUACGUUUGAUUGGUCCUUAUGUGAUCUAUAUACUUAUUUGUGUAGUAAAAAGCGAAGUGUCAUACUCACAUCAAGUUUUAUAGUGUUUCGUUUACGUGUCAUCGCCAGAAUGAGUUUCGGCUGCAAAAAGACAUUUUUACCCCAUUUAGUUACUACGUUUGAUUGGUUCUUAUGUGAUGUUGUGUUAAAAAUCACUCAAAACAAACCACUCUAAAUUAUUAUGGUUUAAUGCUUAAUUUCACUGUCAAAUAAAACCGUCUCUAAAAUUUUAUAAAACCAAAAUAAAAAAAAAUCUAACAAAAAAGUAAAAAAAAAAAUUCUAUGUAUCUGACUAAUGGAAUGUCUUUAAAAAAAAAAAAUUCAUCUCUAACUAAUGGAAUGUCGCUUAUUUGUAUAGUGAUUUGUUUAGGUGUCGGUUCCACAACGAGUUUCAGAAUGUUUUGCUCAUGUGUCAUCUCCAGAAUGAGUUUCAGCUACAAAAAAAACCUUUUAACCCUAUUUUUGAUUACAUGUCAUUUUUUUAUUGGUUAUUAUCUGAUGAUGUCUUAAAAUAAUUUAAAACAAACCGCUCUAAAUUAUUGUGGUUCAAUGUGUCAAUCAAACCAUUUUUAAAAUUUUAUAAAACUGAAAUUUAGUAAAAAUCUAACAAAAAAUUAAAAUUAAUAAAUAAUCUAAUGGAAUGACGGUAUUUUGUGAUGUCUAGAUUAUGGUUUUGACUUCAAAUAUUUUAUUAUAAAUAUUUAAGACUUCUUUCUAAUUCUCUCAAAUCCUUCUAAAUUGUUCAAUCUCUUAUUUUUUCUUCAAAUAAGUUCGUACAGUAGUUAAAAAAACUAUGUCUAAAAUACAUAGACAGUGAUUAAAACCGAAUAAGUUCGUACGGUACUUCAAAAAACUACUUCUAAAAUACAUAGGACAGUGAUCAAAAGAUCUCAAAACUAUUUAAAAUAAAUUAUUUGGAUACUAAUAUGUUUUUAUCUAUUAUUUUCUACACUGUUUUCUUGAUCAUGUCUUCAAAUAUUAAAAAAUGCAAGAAAAUCUAACAAACAAAUAUACUCAACAAUAGAUAAUAAAAAACAAAUGAAUCCAAAUUACAAUUAAAUUUUCAAACAAUCAAAUGAGAAAUUAUAUCAGCCUGCGCUUGCGCAGGCACGGAAAAAUUUCACUAGUUUCUGAAUUAUUUAUACCGCAAAAAUAAUAAUAAAAAAUAAUAUUUUCUCCAUAUCUCAUUUCCAACUUUAAAAAAAAAAUACUUUAGAAAAUAAUAUCAUAGUUGUGGCGAACGUUCGAAUCAGUAUGUACAUUUAAUCUAUAUUAUUAGUUGAAUAGACAUUUACAUAAAUGAAUUUUUAUUUGUAAGAUAUUACAUAAUAUUUCAAUAAAUAAAUAUUUCUUUAUAAAAUAUUACAUAAAUUGACCUUUAUUUAGAAGAUAUUACAUAAAUAAAUUUUACAAAUAGAAAAAACUUAAUUAAAUAUUUCUCAUAGUUAAAUAUAUAGUUUACAGAUUUGUUUUGAAUAUAUAUGGAUAUAAAUCAAAAGUGUAUUUAAUUUCUUUACUUAUUAAAAUAUUAAAAUAUAUUCUAUUAUUUUAAAUAAUAAUAAAUCCAUAUAAAUUUAAAAAAUCUAUUUAAACUUUUGCAAUCUUUUUAUUUGUAUUUUAAUAAUUCGUAUUAUUUUCAAAAAUCCAAUUAUUUUUAUUAAAAAAAAAUUUUAAUAUAUUUUUAAAAUUUAAAUUGUUUUUUUUACAGGUUGGCCAAAAAAAUAUUAUAGUAAAUUAUAAAGUAAAUUAAGUAGACGGAUUUAUCCGCUUUAACAAUCCUAUAUAUAAUCAUUAUUAACACAUAUUAUAUAAUUUAUUAACUAAAAUGAUAGUUUGAUCUCUAAUAAAAUAUUCACAGUUAAAUUCUUAUUAUAUAUAUAUAUAUAGAUAUAGAUUAUUAUCUAUAUUAGUAUGUAUAUAAGUAUAUAUAUAUAUAUAUAUUAACAUCAUAUCAUUUUCAUAUUUAAAAAUUACUAAUAAUUUAACCACAUAACAAAAGUAGCUAUAAAGUCUCAUUUGAUGAUAUAUAUAAGUAAAUAUCGGUUCUGUGAUAUUUAUUUAUGUAUUGUUAUCUAAUUGAAAUUCGUUUUAUUUAUUUAUAUUUUUUGUUAAAAAAAUUUUGCCACCAAUUUAAUUUAAUCAAAAACAUUAAAAAUAAAUUUAAAAACAAUUUAAAAAAUACUAGAUGAGAACCCGCGCAAACGCGCAGAUAUUUUAUAGAUUAUUUUGUUUAUCUCUUUUAAUGUUAUUUUAGUUUAUUACAUAUAUGUUAUUGCAUCAACCUUUACAUCUACACUUUCAAACUUCAUUGUCCACUUGAUCUUUCACUAAAAAUAGUAUGCAGUUCAUUUAUUCUUUUAUGUUGGUGUGUAAAGUUGUGGAAAAUAUGAUCCUAAAAUCCUCAAAAUCUAAGCAUAAUCCUAAAAUCUUAAUAAAGUUUUGACUGUAAAUAUAUUUUUCUUCUUUAAUUAGAUCUUUACAUGAUGUGUUUAACCUUAUAUGGUUUAAUCUUGUACAUUUUACUUAGUUGUCUUCAUUUGUUCUAUUUAGGAGUUUAUAAUCAGUGGCACAUAACAAUAUUGUUUUAUCGAUGAAAAUUCUGUAAAACAUACAACUCGCAAGUUCAUAUAUAGUAAAUUUUGAAAUACCUUUUGAACAUAGAAGCAUUGUUAAUCUAAAAGAAAAAAGAUGUAGAACACGGUAUUGUUGUUUUUGUAAUAUGUUGGUAAGACUUGAGAUACUGAAACUCUGGUCUUAUUCCUUUACCUAAAGAGUACUCUGUCUCAUUUACAACCUGUAAUGUGUACGAUAUAUUUGAUAACUCUAUUUGAUACAAAGACUUCUGUUUCUAGUAAAUACUCUCUAUGCAAGUCAUAUACAAAUUCUUGUACUCGCUUAACAAACUCUCCAACUUCUUCAGCUCGAUCUUAUCAUCUUCUUCUCUUUUUCUUCUCAUCUUCUUCUGCGUACAUAGGCCCUCUGUGGCUUAAAAAAAAUAUAACUACUUAUGUGUGCCUUAGCCGUGUUAUAACUUGCAUCUUCUACAAGAAAGGUUUCAAAAGUCUAUAGGAAACGCAAACUACAACUCAAGAAUAUGAUGGUGUAACUGAGGAUGUCGUUGCAGCAAUUCCUUACAGAUUAAGCACAAAACAUGAUUUCUUAAAACAUAAACAGAACAGUUUGAAUACGUGAUGCAUCAAAACAGAAUACAUGAAUCUAAACCAAAAACAAAACAUUUUCAACAUGGCGUAAGAAUGUCUAACCUCUGCUUUAGAAUUAAUCAGAGGAGCAUCUGAAGAAUUCUUGUAAUUCUCGUAUCUCAAAAGCGUUUGCGUCAUGCUACGAAGCAGAUGAGAAAUUACAGGGAGAGCAGAACGAGAAGUGAGAGUUAGAUUAUAAUUACGACUCUCUUCAGCUGGGAACUUAGAACAAACAUGCAAGUAUCUAAAUUACAGCAGAAUUCGACGAAGAGGAACACACGAUUAAGCCUCCAGAAAUCGGUUAAUCAAAUCGACGAAGAGGAACACACAAUUAAGCCUCCACGAUCAAGCUUGCCAGACUUGGAGAAGACGAUGACGCGGCAACCUCAGCAUUGCAAAGAGUAGAUAGCUCGCGAGCCUUCUUAAACAACCCAGAACGCCUCUUCGAAAAGGUAACUUGCCUGCUAUUCACAUGAUCGAGCCUCUUUAUCACGAUUUUUGCACAACCCAUCUUAAUUUGACUAUCGCAUAGAACAUCAUAUAAGAGCAAGGUGCAAUCUUUCGUUCGUCUUCAAAUCGAAAAAAUAGGCAUACUUAGAGGGAGAUAUUGAAUUUAUAGUCGGCGUGAGAGAAGGAAUUCCAGUCCAUAGAGAGAGUGAUUGAUAGAGGGAGUAGGGAUUAAUUACAGUCGAUGAGAAAACGGUCGAAGCGAGGAAGACGGUUGAGCUACGGAUUGGUAUUCAAUUUCUGGCUUUUACUAUUAGGAGCUUAACCUCACAUACUCUUCUCCCUUAUAAGAAAUUAUAAUAUAUUUUUUCUAUCUUUAUAUUUUGUUUUUAAUUUUCUUUUUAAUACAAAAGGUAUAAAAAAACCAAAAAACCAUUAAUGAAUAACCAAAUUACAUAUUCAAUUCAGAAUACCGAACUCAAACCAAAAUCCAAUUUAAAUAACCAACUUAACCGAAAUGAUUAAACUAAAUCAAUUUAAUUAUUUUAAACCAACCUUUAAACCAUCCAAUUUAAUUAAACCAGAAAGCAAACCUAAACCUAAACCCUACCCCCUAAAAAUCGGAUCUAUUCCCGCCUCCUUCGUCUCCCCUCUUCGAUUCCAUUAUCUCCAUACUCCAUCAUUUUCGGACUCUUCGAUUCCAUCAUCUUCUUCCAUCAUUUUCGUCAUCAUCUUCUUCCUCUUCGAUUAAAUCCUCACACUCUUCGCUCACCGCCACUCACUCGCACUCACUCUCCACUCUUCACCCUUCUGAUUUAGGGUCGUCGCCGUCGCCGUUUUAGGCUUGCCACCACCGCCGUUUCACACUUCCGUCAUCGCCGAACAGGUAUCUACUAGGCUUAAGAGUAAUUAAAACCUUAAUUUAUGAUUUUCUUCCCUCAACCCUAAACCCCAACUGAUUUCUGAUUUUUUGUUUCAGAAUUUUUGGAGGAUGUCGACUAAGAGUUCACCUUCUCAACCAGAGAGAUCUGAGGCUGAGUAUGCUACUGCAUCAGAAGAAGGAUUGGGUUCAAACUCAAAUGUUGAUCCAUUACAACCGGUAUGUAGUUUAGUACAACUAGAAUUAUCGUGUACAAUUGAGUUUUGCUUGUGGUCUACCGGUAUGUAGUUUAGUACAACUGGAAUUAUCGCGUACAACUGAUUUUUGCUUGUGGUUGAACGAAAUGUAGUUUAGUACAACUGGAAUUAUCGCGUACAACUGAUUUUUGCUUGUGGUUGAACGAAAUGUAGUUUAGUACAACUGGAAUUAUCGCGUACAACUUAUUUUUUGGUUUUGCUUGUACCAAGAAUACUAGUUGUACCAAGAAUACUAGUUGUACCAAUACACUUAUAUUCACUUAUCCUAUGCGUUUUGAUUGCAGCAAGAGGACGUCUCAAUACCGAUGGAACCUCGAUGUUUAUUCUUCAAGCAAAGCGAGUAUCGGUUAUACCCGAAGCUUCAAUCAAGGUGUGAAACCUUUAAUUUCAUGGAAGUCUUCAAGAGGCUUGAUAUCUCAGAGAGAAACUGGUUUGAGAACCACCCACAAUUCAAGCAUAUUGUCCACAUGUUUAUCCAGAAGAAUAGAAUGUUAAUGGGAAUGUGGAUGUUGCUUCUCCGAACAGCAGUGACAGACAAGCAGCGGCAGUGUUGGUUUGUUGUGAAUGGUGUGCCUGUUCGGUAUUCAAUCAGAGAACACGGCCUUCUUUCAGGAUUAUUCUGCCACCAUUAUCCAGCCAACUAUGAGCAGUUAGGGAGUAUGUAUUUUGUGGAGGAGCAGUUUGGAAAGACUAAUAUUGAGGUGAAAGAGGUGCGUGAGAAGCUGGAAUCAAUGGAUUUCAUUGAAGGUGGUACUGAUCGGUUGAAGAUGGUUGUACUUUUCUUCUUAGCAACUGUCAUCAAAGGAAAGUCCAAGAAAUAUGGUGGAUCCAUAGACCCAUUCAUUCUCUGAGUGGUGGAUGAUCUGGAUCUGUGUGAAAUGUUUCCCUGGGGUCGUUUCACUUUUGAUGACGUCUUAGCUGAGGUUGCACAUCUGGUGGAUCAUUUUGGAGGAUCUGUUCGAGGGAAUUGGACUUUUCCGGGGUUCAUAUUGCCUUUAGAGGUAAUGUUAUAUGUUUUAAAUUCAGUAUAACUUGUACAACUAAAAAUCGUAGUAUUAGUAUAAUUAGUAUUCUUGGUUCAACUUGAUAUAGUGUAUAGGUAGUAGUAUUGGUACAACUCGUGUUUCGGGUACAACUAGUUGAACUGGUAUUAUUGGUAGAACUGGCAUAACUAGUACGUUUAUAUGUGCAGAUUUUGGCGUUUGAAUCUAUCCCGGUUCUAAAAGCAGCAUUUCAAGAAAAAGUUGGGAAUGCAGAUGGUGAUUGUCCAAAAAUGUGCAAGUGGAAGUUUAAGAGAACAGGCAAAACAGGAUUUUCUUUAGCUGAUAUUUAUGAAGUGCUUGGAGAUACAAAGGUUUAGGAGUCUCCUUUAAUUUUAUAUUUAUACAUUAUUAGAGAUUUAGUUUAAUUUAAUUUUUGUUUUUCGUUAAACAGGAUAUUAUUAGUAUCUUGGUACCUGAAGACGGAGAAGCCAAACUCUUGCUUGACAUCCUAGACAAGCAUGUAUGGGAUGACUUCGAAGUAGGAGAGGAUGAUGCUGUUUCUGACCCUGUUGUUGAUAGUUGGCACACGAUUUUAGUCCAACAAAAGAAGAAGAUACACUUGAAGGAUCUGUACCUAUUAGAUGUUAAAUCCCUAGAAGACCAGCCAUUGCCCAAACCGACAGAUACUGAAGCGGUAGGAAGUGAGGAUGUGUUGAAGAAGAUGGAAGAAGGGUUUAUAAAGAUUAACGAGAAAAUGGAAGAAGGGUUUAGCAAAGAAACCACGCUACAAAAUAUGUAUGCGGAAGAGUGCUGAGGCUAAAAGGACGGCUGAGCUCAUUAGGAAUAGGAGAAAGGGUAAACCAUCGAGGCAUAUAUCCACUCCUUAUGAAAAUGAUGCACCAGGAGAAAGGAAAAAACGAGAGGCUGCAAAAAAAAAGUAGAAGAAACAAGUUUUUUUUGGUUUUUGUUGAAACUAGUUAUUGGUUUUUGGUGAAACUAGUAGAUGGUUUAGGUUGAAACUAGUAGGAGGUUUUUUAUGUUUGGUGAAACAGGUUUUAGUGGUAUGUUAAAACUACUAAGAGGUUUACUGUUUUAAUUAAAUUAUGUUUUCAGAUUUUUUAGUACAACUGGUAUUAUUGCGUACAACUAUUGUUGUUGAAACUAGAACAAAAUGAAAUUUUCAGGCCCAAAAACCACAUGUGCGCCGUCAAAUUACACGAGCGCCGUCAAAUUACACGAGCGCCGUCAAACUACACGAGCGCCGGCAAAAUAAUUAUAAAAAUAAUUAAUUACUUUUUUCGCACCGUCAAAUAAUAUACAAAGUUGUACCCAAGUAGGUAAGUUGUACUCUCUUUUUUUUUAUUACACAGAGUUGUACUUUCAUAGAUAAAACGAUUUUAUUAGUUAUAUCGUACUAGAAAUUACAUUUUUAUUGUUGUACUUUUGAAAAUAGUUAAUAAUAAGACAUUUAAGACACAUAUAGAUAAUUAAAUGUAUAAAAUUAUGUUUUUUUGUUAAUUUCUUAUAACUAUAUAGCAUUAGUUGUAAUAGUUGUCAUAGAAGUAUAAGGUAUAUGUUAUGAAAAUAUGAUUUUUGUGUUCUCAAUAUUCAAAAAUGCACCAAGUUGGAUUUACAUCAUCAAAAUAGAUAUGAAACUAAAUCCUUAAACACAUACUGCUUUCCGAAAUGCGGUAUUUUAAAUAAAAUAAAAAAAAGAAAGAAAAAAAAAGAUCCAGUACCUGAUAGUUGUACUAGUUGUACCCGAUAGUUAUACUAGUUGUACCUGAAUAGUUAUACUAGUUGUACCCGAUAGUUGUACUAGUUGUACAGCGAUUACUAUUCUCCUUCCUCUUGCUCUGGUACAUUAGGAUCAUUAAACAACCAUGCUCCUAGUCCUCUUCCUCUUCCUCCUCCUCUUCCUCCUCUUCUUCCUCUUCCUCUCCCUCGAUGUUCUCCAACUGAUGGAUGCCUAGUUGUGUUGAUGCGUCCUUUUUUCUUAAUUAUUUCUGGAGGAAAUAUACAUUUUGCUCGGAUAUUGUUAGGAACAACCCAGUCAUCUUUAUGGGGGAUUGGAUAGAUUGUCCUGCAGUAAGCCAAACGACCAAUGUUCCAUCCAAUAAUAGUGGGAGCAAAAUUCACGUAGAUGGAGCUCUCUAUCCCCGCUCAUAAAGAUAGCAGCUGCUAUUGCAUGCACACACGGAUACUUAUCGAUAUCAAACCUCUUGCAACUGCAACUUUUAUUUCUCAUAUCAACCAGAUAAACCUUGCCAUCAUGCCCAAUCACAUUGUACUCAAGGUGGUAGCUGUUUAACUCAUGCACCGUCAAAGUAUUUGCUUCCACACAUCUCACAUGCAUUUCGUUCUCCACAUAUGGCACAAGCUUAUGUGCCGUAGAAACUUCAUUAGACGCCUUCCUAUACUUGUUAAACCAUUCAGCUAAUUUUGCAAUAAUCACAUCAAUCAUUGGUAACAGCGAGUAUUUCCUUGCUUCUACAAAAAAGCCAUUGAUAGAUUCUGCACAAUUGGUGGUGUCUAUGUUAUACCUGUCUCCGGGAAAAUAGCAUCUUGCCCAUUUCUCCUCACCAACAGUUCUGUCCAGAUAGUCGGCUGCAUCUGGAUACAUUUUCCUAAAAGCACUAUAUAGUGUCAAGAAUUCAUUCUCUCUAUAAGCAUGAGCACAAGCUCGGAACUUCUUCGCACAAGUCGCUCUAUUGACUCCACUGACAUUCCCUUUCACGUUUUGAGACAAAUGAUAUAUACAAACACCAUUCUGAGACAAUGGAAAGACCUCACGUAUUGACUUGAGGAGACUUACGUUUCUAUCAGAAAGAAAAACCAGGUCAGGAACAUCUGGUACAACUGAUCUCAACUUGCUCAUAAACCACAUCCAACUUGCCUCUUUCUCACCAUCAACUACACCAAAAGCAAUUGGAUAAUGAUGAUGGUCAGGAUCCUGAGCUGUAGCAACAAUUAAAACACCACCAUAUGCAUUUUUAAGGUGGGUAGCAUCCACAGCAAUCACUUUUCUCAUGACUCGAAAACCCUCAAGGCAAGCUCCCAAGGCAAAGAAUAGAUACUUAAACCUGUUUCCCUCAUCCAAUUCCACAUAAGUGCGUGUACCAGGGUUCAUGUACUCUAGCAUAUACAAAUAAGAGUGCAACAACUGAUAACUCUCCUCUGGACUUCCCCGCACAUCAUUAGCAGCUGCUCUUUUACCUCUCCAUGCAGUAGAGUAUGAUACUUUAACACCAAAUGCGUUUUGAACCAAACCAAUCAGUUCUUGUGGUGCUGGAGUUUUAAGUUUGCCUGGAUAAUCAGAAUGGCAAAUAGACCUGACCAACUGUGGUGUGCCUUUCCUUCGAUUUUUGCUUGUAACUGUAGUAGCUCGAGAACAUGUAUGAAUCUUGAUGUACGUUCUAACUGAGAAAAGAUCUGAAUUCUUCGUCUUUGCAGCUCGUAAAUACCACUUACACCCAUCUUUUGCUCCACGACAUUUUAACACAUAUCGACGUGUAUUUGACUGGAUGAUAUCAAACUCAAAACCAUUUUUACGGGAGGCUACAAACACUAAUUCUUGUAAUGACUCCUUUUUGCCAAAUUCUUGUCCUACAACUAAAUCAAUACCAUCUUCCCAUGUAUGAUUCACGUACACAUCUCCUUCUACAGCAGGUGCCACCUCAAUAUCAUCAUACAUACCAAAGUCUUCAUGCACAUUAUUUCCAACAUCUUCACCAUCUUCACCAUCUUCAGCAUCUUCACUAACAACAUCUUCUUUCUGCGGUUCUGAUGGUUCACCUUUGUAAAAAGUAUCCAUACCAUCAUUAACAUCAUCACCAUGUUGUGGCUCUGACGGUUGCACAAAUCCCUCAUUUUGCUCAACAUCUGUGAUGAGCUCCACAUGCAAAACCCUUCUACAAUGAUUAUUAUUCACUUGCAUUAGAUAACCAAAUACAUCUUCAUCAUUCCGAACAUAUGAUGGCUUCUUGGGAUCCAAUAUCAGUGGAAAGUAGCUAAGUCUAAGCUGCAUCAUAGCUCCAUCUACCAUAAGCUUUUUGCAAAUUUUAUCAACCAGCCCAUUGUAAGUGAUCUCUUCCAUAGAUGUCUUAAUCACUAAAGUAUGAAUUUCAACCUCUUCUGAGUUCCACCUCAUGUAUUCACCGUCAUUUGAAUAACAUCCCCCCGAAUCAAAACAUAUGAUUGUGCAUCGAGUGUUACUCAUCAUUCUGUUAAAAGAAAAAAUAAAAACUGUUAGAAUAUAUUUAUAGUUGUACACCAGUAGUACUAGUUGCACCAGUUGUCUAAGGAAAACCAGUUGUACUAAAAGCUUAUGGUUACAGAUCGACGCUUCUGAAGAUUCAUACGUAUUCUAGUACUCUAGUAUACUUAAAUAACCAAUGUAAAGCCCGAACAAACGUAUACAUAAGUUUACUAACAGAAAAAAAAACCACAAAUAUAAUUUCUAAACCCUAAAUGCAUAAACUCGUUUUUUUGUUGAAAAAAGAAGAAUUUACCUUCAAAUCACGUUCUGGGUCGUCGAGAUCAGCUGAAGAAAUGCUGCAGGAUAUGUAUUUGUCAAGGGUUGAAGAUCGCUGAAGCUUCCAGAGUUUCGAAGGAAGAUCGCUGAAGCUUCAAGGGAGCUGUAAAAUUUUUGUUUUCUGGUUUCACGUACGAAGAAGAAAGAAAGAAGAAGAAGAGAGUGGGUCCCAUUAACAUUAGUUGUUGUUAGAUGGUUGGGCUGGGUAGGUUCAAAGUAAAA
This 42610-nucleotide long non-coding RNA is filed under the name Eutrema salsugineum. RNAcentral describes it as "long non-coding RNA (ESAL_LNC000171)". The stretch from base 5666 to 5869 matches the Rfam family "U2 spliceosomal RNA". Lineage: Eukaryota; Viridiplantae; Streptophyta; Magnoliopsida; Brassicales; Brassicaceae. The record is from RNAcentral.